This 68-nucleotide transfer RNA is filed under the name Anax imperator (emperor dragonfly). RNAcentral's name for it is "tRNA-Ser". The record is from RNAcentral. Lineage: Eukaryota; Metazoa; Arthropoda; Insecta; Odonata; Aeshnidae.
AGAAUAUGAAGUAUCAAGAGAAAGCUGCUAACUUUUAUCUUUAGCGGUUCAAUUCCGUUUAUAUUCUU